UACAGAGGUCCCGAGCGUUGUUCGGAUUCACUGGGCGUAAAGGGUGCGUAGGCGGUUCUGCAAGUCUGAUGUGAAAUCUCCAGGCCCAACCUGGAAACUGCAUUAGAAACUACAGGGCUAGAGGCUUGGAGGGGGAACUGGAAUUCUCGGUGUAGCAGUGAAAUGCGUAGAGAUCGAGAGGAACACCAGUGGCGAAGGCGAGUUCCUGGACAAGGCCUGACGCUGAGGCACGAAAGCCAGGGGAGCGAACGGG
This 253-nucleotide ribosomal RNA is filed under the name uncultured bacterium. Its description in RNAcentral is "partial 16S ribosomal RNA". It matches the Rfam family "Bacterial small subunit ribosomal RNA", at positions 524 to 776 of the family's 1533-position model. The record is from RNAcentral.